GAGAUCGUGACCCGAGCCAAAGUCAGCCGCCCAACCGACUGAGCCACCCAGAACUGGGAGACUGUUGAAAAUAUGUAGUUGAACAUCUUCAAAAUUUUUCCUGGUGGAAAACUGAAACCAGUACUACAUCCCUGGAAGAAUGACAGAAUUGAAGGCCACCAUGAAACACCUGAAAGAUGUCUUUCAUGGUAGGUUUUCGUUUAACUCACUUAUCUGUUAUGCUUAAAUAUGCCUUGAAAAAUGACAGAGAUUAUCGUAAAUACAAUCAGUUGAUGACUCUAUUAUGGCUAUGGUACCAGAUGUGGUUUCUUGACUGGAGUAACCAACACAUAUCCUGAUAUGGGACAAUUGAUCCAAAGUCAAUGUUGUUCAGGCAGAAAAAUAAAGACACAUAUAGGCUUUGGCAGAUAGUAGAAGUGAGGUUUUCAUAGAGGGAGUGUUGGGAUAUCUCCUUCUGCAUCACUCAUUUUGGUGCUCCAGGAAAUAGAAAUCAUUAAUGGCAAUUUGCUGUCAUUUCUGCACUCCCUGAUGUCUUGGAGCUCUUUGCUGCUAGAUCUUUGCUUCCUGGGCCCCUCCUGUGGUUUUGUUAUCUUCUAAUUCCCUGUAUUACAUCUGCUGCUUUCUUAUAAGUCAUAGCAUGGUAUCUGUUUCCCUGACUGAACUUUAACUAAUUUAACCCAGAGCUUUGCCCUCUGCAACUUUGCUCCGUCUCUGUAGUUAAGACCUUCAUUUAUCCAAUAGUUCAAGUCAAAUCUGGCAGCCGUUCUUGAUGACACCCGUCUUUCCCACAAUUUCUCCCACAUAACCUUCUUGUCCCCUGAACUCAGUGUUUUCCAGCACAGGGCAUUAUUGCUGCCUAUAGUGCUCUUCUCUUCAAUGUUCUCACACCUCACUCCCUUACCUAAUUAGGUCUCGGCCCAACUCUCGUCUGCUCAGAGAAGACUUGCCUAAUUACUAUUAUCUUUCCUCACUACUGUUGGCUUUACAACAUAUAUUGAUUUUUUAUUUCGACUCAUGUAUUAUUUUACUCUCCACUCAACUGGAAUAAAAACUCCAAGAAAGCAGACACUACGCCUGUCCUAAUUAUUGAUAUAUACACAUCACCAAAAAUCGGGUAUGCAAUUAGUAGGAAUUCAAUACAACAUUAAUACAAAAAAAGAAUGAGUAAAUAAAUCUCGCAUAUAAAUUGUGUACUUAUAAAUCGUUAUUUUAAAUUUAGUGUAAAAUACAUUCAUAAAGCAUUUAAACUUACAUAAGUUAUAAUACAAUAAUAGCAUUGAGGGGAGGGUAUCAUUUCAUUCAAUGAAUAUCCUCACAGGUGUUGUCAAGCACACAGAAAUGAACUUUCAGAUAAAAAUCAACUUAUUAACACAGAAGACAAUAGAUUUUCCUGCUUGCUUGGGCUGGCUUUGUCUGCUCUGAGUAUGUGAAACUUCACUGCAUUUUUCAGGAAAUGACUUACCUAGCCCACAUCUCAUUCCCUGCAGUGGUCAUUUAACUUAAUUUUUACAAAAGCAAUAAAAGUUUCUCUUUUAAUGUUUGACCCAGAUUGUGAAUUGAGAAAUAUGUACUGUAUAGAAAGUUAGUCAUAACAAUAUGAAAAAUGUAUAACUUAUAUGCGUGAUUUUCAUAUUCUAUUUUUUUAAGUUUAUUUAUUU
Felis catus (domestic cat) is the source of this 1658-nucleotide long non-coding RNA. RefSeq lists it as uncharacterized. Lineage: Eukaryota; Metazoa; Chordata; Mammalia; Carnivora; Felidae. The transcript has 3 exons. The record is from RefSeq and is a predicted model, not a curated record.